This 421-nucleotide ribosomal RNA is filed under the name uncultured bacterium. Its description in RNAcentral is "bacterial SSU rRNA". It matches the Rfam family "Bacterial small subunit ribosomal RNA", at positions 58 to 507 of the family's 1533-position model. The record is from RNAcentral.
CGUAGCGAUGGAAAACAGAGGAGGGAAAGUGAGAAGUGAUGGCGAGCGGCGGACGGCAGAGUAACGCGUAGGAACAUACCCAAACUGAGGGAUAACUGCUCGAAAGAGUAGCUAAUACCGCAUGUGGUCUUCGGAUUAAAAGGCUUCGGCGGUUUGGGAAUGGCCUGCGUCCGAUUAGCUUGUUGGUGAGGUAAAAGCUCACCAAGGCGACGAUCGGUAGCUGGUCUGAGAGGAUGAUCAGCCUGACUGGAACUGAGAACGGUCCAGACUCCUACGGGAGGCAGCAGUAGGGAAUUUUCCACAAUGGCGAAAGCCUGAUGGAGCAACGCCGCGUGCAGGAUGAAUGCCUUCGGGUUGUAAACUGCUUUUAUUAGUGAAGAAUAUGACGGUAACUAAUGAAUAAGGGUCGGCUAACUACGUG